AAAGUCGUAACAAGGUUUCCGUAGGUGAACCUGCGGAAGGAUCAUUACCGAAUAAUGACAUGCACCUUCGCUGUAGGUAGACCAGCCACUGGACUGCUGCAGUCAGAAUUUGAUGCAAAUCUAAUAACUCGCCUGGGGGUUUGGAUGUCGGAUGCUGUUGCAGCCUGCGCCUUUGGGGUCUCCUAUGCCUUUUCUUUUCCACCACACAAAACCUGUAAUCGUAUGGUGUUGCACAUAUAUAAUAUAACUUUCAACAACGGAUCUCUUGGCUCUC
This 274-nucleotide unclassified non-coding RNA is filed under the name Basidiomycota sp. Its description in RNAcentral is "partial contains small subunit ribosomal RNA, internal transcribed spacer 1, and 5.8S ribosomal RNA". The stretch from base 1 to 47 matches the Rfam family "Eukaryotic small subunit ribosomal RNA", at positions 1785 to 1831 of the family's 1831-position model. The record is from RNAcentral. Lineage: Eukaryota; Fungi; Basidiomycota.